UACGUAGGGGGCUAGCGUUGUCCGGAAUCAUUGGGCGUAAAGCGCGCGUAGGCGGCCCGGUAAGUCCGCUGUGAAAGUCAAAGGCUCAACCUUUGAAUGUCAGCGGAUACUGCCGGGCUAGAGUCCGGAAGAGGCGAGCGGAACUCCUGGUGUAGCGGUGGAAUGCGCAGAUAUCAGGAAGAACACCAACGGCGAAGGCAGCUCGCUGGGACGGUACUGACGCUGAGACGCGAAAGCGUGGGGAGCGAACAGG
RNAcentral lists this ribosomal RNA (253 nucleotides) under uncultured bacterium. Its description in RNAcentral is "partial 16S ribosomal RNA". It matches the Rfam family "Bacterial small subunit ribosomal RNA", at positions 524 to 776 of the family's 1533-position model. The record is from RNAcentral.